GAAAAAAAAAUCAGAUAGAAUUACUCAACAAAAAAUGGUGAAAUUGAUUCUAUUUGUGAAUUUGAUUUUGAUUUUUAUCAUUUCUGUAAAUUCUCAAAUUCCAUAUGGAUUCUGGUACAGCGGCGAUGGCGAAAUCGAUUUAACAAAAUCAAUAGUAAUCGAAGCUUUUUUAGAUCCAGUUUGCCCAGACAGUAGAGAUUCAUGGCCGCCUCUGAAAAAAGCUCUGCAUCACUACGGUUCUCGUGUUUCUCUUGUUGUUCAUACUUUUCCUUUGCCUUACCAUGACAAUGCAUAUACUACCUCGCGCGCGUUGCACAUUGUCAAUAAGUUGAAUUCUUCUGCCACAUACAGAUUACUAGAGGCUUUCUUUGAUCAGCAGGACAAGUUUUAUAACCAUGCGACGUUCAACUUGUCCAAAGCAUCUGUUGUAGAUGAAGUCGCAAAAUUUACAUCAAAUGAAAUUGGGAAUUCGAAUUACGCUGCUAUAAAGGCUGGAUUUUCUGACCCCAAAACUGAUCAAGCAACAAGAAUUUCCUUCAAGUAUGGUUGUAAGAAAGGCGUAUAUGGGGCACCUUUUUUCUUCGUAAACGGGUUUCUUCUACCUGAUGGUGGCUCACCAUUGGACUACAAAACAUGGAGAGAUGUCCUUGAUCCAUUGAUUCCACCUGAAGAACAAUCAAGGACUGAAAAUUUGAAUUUCUUCUUGUGAAUCUGCACUCAUUAUCACCUAAGGUUCUGAGCUAGAGAGACAAAUUAAACCCAAUAGUUCUUAUGUGUAGUUAUAUAAUGAAGUUUAUUACUUCUAUAUCUUAUGGUUUUCCUUUAGCAUCUAUCAAAAACAGCCUGUCUAUCGUUGGGAAUAGGGGUAAGGGUCUAUAUUACAAUCUACCCUCUCGAGACAUGACUUUGUGUAACUACAUUAGGUAUGUUAUUGUUGUUCUUAUAUAUCUUAUGGUUAUGGAAAUGAAAAUACUAAUUUG
Molecule: unclassified non-coding RNA, 980 nt
Filed under: Hevea brasiliensis (rubber tree)
Lineage: Eukaryota; Viridiplantae; Streptophyta; Magnoliopsida; Malpighiales; Euphorbiaceae
Source: RNAcentral